GAUUAAGUUAUUAAGGGCGCACGGUGGAUGCCUUGGCACUAGAAGCCGAUGAAGGACGUUACUAACGACGAUAUGCUUUGGGGAGCUGUAAGUAAGCUUUGAUCCAGAGAUUUCCGAAUGGGGAAACCCAGCAUGAGUUAUGUCAUGUUAUCGAUAUGUGAAUACAUAGCAUAUCAGAAGGCACACCCGGAGAACUGAAACAUCUUAGUACCCGGAGGAAGAGAAAGAAAAUUCGAUUCCCUUAGUAGCGGCGAGCGAAACGGGAAGAGCCCAAACCAACAAGCUUGCUUGUUGGGGUUGUAGGACACUCUAUACGGAGUUACAAAGGACGACAUUAGACGAAUCAUCUGGAAAGAUGAAUCAAAGAAGGUAAUAAUCCUGUAGUCGAAAAUGUUGUCUCUCUUGAGUGGAUCCUGAGUACGACGGAGCACGUGAAAUUCCGUCGGAAUCUGGGAGGACCAUCUCCUAAGGCUAAAUACUCUCUAGUGACCGAUAGUGAACCAGUACCGUGAGGGAAAGGUGAAAAGCACCCCGGAAGGGGAGUGAAAUAGAACCUGAAACCGUGUGCUUACAAGUAGUCAGAGCCCGUUAAUGGGUGAUGGCGUGCCUUUUGUAGAAUGAACCGGCGAGUUACGAUUUGAUGCAAGGUUAAGCAGUAAAUGUGGAGCCGUAGCGAAAGCGAGUCUGAAUAGGGCGUUUAGUAUUUGGUCGUAGACCCGAAACCAGGUGAUCUACCCUUGGUCAGGUUGAAGUUCAGGUAACACUGAAUGGAGGACCGAACCGACUUACGUUGAAAAGUGAGCGGAUGAACUGAGGGUAGCGGAGAAAUUCCAAUCGAACCUGGAGAUAGCUGGUUCUCUCCGAAAUAGCUUUAGGGCUAGCCUCAAGUGAUGAUUAUUGGAGGUAGAGCACUGUUUGGACGAGGGGCCCCUCUCGGGUUACCGAAUUCAGACAAACUCCGAAUGCCAAUUAAUUUAACUUGGGAGUCAGAACAUGGGUGAUAAGGUCCGUGUUCGAAAGGGAAACAGCCCAGACCACCAGCUAAGGUCCCAAAAUAUAUGUUAAGUGGAAAAGGAUGUGGCGUUGCCCAGACAACUAGGAUGUUGGCUUAGAAGCAGCCAUCAUUUAAAGAGUGCGUAAUAGCUCACUAGUCGAGUGACACUGCGCCGAAAAUGUACCGGGGCUAAACAUAUUACCGAAGCUGUGGAUUGUCCUUUGGACAAUGGUAGGAGAGCGUUCUAAGGGCGUUGAAGCAUGAUCGUAAGGACAUGUGGAGCGCUUAGAA
This 1285-nucleotide ribosomal RNA is filed under the name Staphylococcus aureus. Its description in RNAcentral is "partial 23S ribosomal RNA". It matches the Rfam family "Bacterial large subunit ribosomal RNA", at positions 1 to 1287 of the family's 2925-position model. The record is from RNAcentral. Lineage: Bacteria; Bacillati; Bacillota; Bacilli; Caryophanales; Staphylococcaceae.